RNAcentral lists this ribosomal RNA (491 nucleotides) under uncultured bacterium. RNAcentral describes it as "bacterial SSU rRNA". It matches the Rfam family "Bacterial small subunit ribosomal RNA", at positions 8 to 526 of the family's 1533-position model. The record is from RNAcentral.
AGAGUUUGAUCCUGGCUCAGCCUGAACGCUGGCGGCGUGGCUAAGACAUGCAAGUCGUACGGGGUAGCAAUACCCAGUGGCGAACGGGUGAGUAAUGUAUCGCUAACGUGCCCCCGAGUCAGGGAUAGCUGCCCGAAAGGGCAGGUAAUACCUGAUGAGACCACGACCGGGCAUCCGGUAGUGCUCAAAGCAGCAAUGCGCUCAGGGAGCGGGCGAUAUCGUAUCAGCUAGUUGGUGAGGUAACGGCUCACCAAGGCGACGACGCGUAGCCGGACUGAGAGGUUGGCCGGCCACAUUGGGACUGAGACACUGCCCAGACUCCUACGGGGGGCUGCAGUAACGAAUCUUCCGCAAUGCACGAAAGUGUGACGGAGCGACGCCGCGUGUGGGACGAAGUCCUUCGGGAUGUAAACCACUGUCAGGGGUUACCAAGUUCUGAGGAGCCCCAGAGGAAGGCACGGCUAACUCUGUGCCAGCCGCCGCGGUAAUAC